This 67-nucleotide transfer RNA is filed under the name Dawkinsia chalakkudiensis (chalak barb). RNAcentral describes it as "tRNA-Cys". It matches the Rfam family "tRNA". From Rfam's summary of the family: Transfer RNA (tRNA) molecules are approximately 80 nucleotides in length. The record is from RNAcentral. Lineage: Eukaryota; Metazoa; Chordata; Actinopteri; Cypriniformes; Cyprinidae.
AGCCCUGUAGUGUAGUUCACACCGGAUUGCAAGUCCGGAGACGCAGAUUAAUACUUUGCCGGGGCUU